CAACAUCUACAUAGUUUCCUAUGGCAUCCUUCAGACUGAGGUGAGAAGAGAUGUUGGGCUGUGCCCGUGCGGUGUUGACCAAAGUCUGCUCGAGAGUCUUAUGCUACAGUGGUUACCUGGGCUGGAAGAUUCACAACAGUCUUGUUGGCUUUAUGCAGAAGAGAAGUGUCCCACACUGGUCAUCUUUCAGCAAAUACUGUGUGACCGUGGAAACAGUGACUAACAACGUAGCAUAAAUGCAAAAUUAAAGGAGGCUCUCUCCCAGUCUAACCUGGCUGAAACUUCAAGGAAAGAAAAUCAAUACAUUUAAAGCCACCUCUAGGGUUUUGUAGAUAACAGUGAGUUAUUAAUUCAUGGGAUGGUUGUGUUAGAAUCCAAAUUUCAUUCCAGUUUCUUGGAUCCUGAUAUAUAGUAGUAGUUCUUUGAGACUGUCAGGCCUCCUCCAUUUACUGGCUGAAGAAAAAUUACUGAAACUUUCCAGUGAAAUUCUUACUGAAUUUCAGGUAUUUUGU
Camelus dromedarius (Arabian camel) is the source of this 512-nucleotide long non-coding RNA. RefSeq lists it as uncharacterized. The transcript has 3 exons. NCBI's taxonomy places the organism in Eukaryota, Metazoa, Chordata, Mammalia, Artiodactyla, Camelidae. The record is from RefSeq and is a predicted model, not a curated record.